UACAGGGGGUGCAAGCGUUACUCGGAUUUACUGGGCGUAAAGAGCGUGUAGGCGGUUUGUUAAGUCUGGUGUGAAAUCCCUGGGCUCAAUCCAGGAAGUGCAUUGGAUACUGACAGACUAGAGUACAGGAGGGGUGAGCGGAAUUCCCGGUGUAGAGGUGAAAUUCGUAGAUAUCGGGAGGAACAACAGAGGCGAAGGCGGCUCACUGGACUGUUACUGACGCUAAGGCGCGAAAGCGUGGGGAGCAAACAGG
Molecule: ribosomal RNA, 253 nt
Filed under: uncultured bacterium
Lineage: Bacteria
Description: partial 16S ribosomal RNA
Rfam family: Bacterial small subunit ribosomal RNA
Source: RNAcentral